RNAcentral lists this long non-coding RNA (542 nucleotides) under Danio rerio (zebrafish). RNAcentral describes it as "si:dkey-8n23.2 (ENSDARG00000104456.2)". Lineage: Eukaryota; Metazoa; Chordata; Actinopteri; Cypriniformes; Danionidae. The record is from RNAcentral.
CCCCGCCCCUUUGUUAGACGCUGUGACGGGCGGGAAGUGUUACCAGGAGGGAACACGCGUCGGCCAGAACCAAGGUAAGCUGUUCCCACCCCUGCCUGUCACUUAGCUACCUAUCUGCAGCCUGCCACCUACCUAGCUACAGCCUGCAUCUUAUAUAUAUUAUAGGUAGAUACAGACUGAUGUGACUGGAGUGGGGUGGGGUGUUUUAUUUAUACAUAUAUACGCCUUUUUUUUAGGUGAGGGCAGGCACUUUUGAGUGAGUUCCCCCAAGCCAUACUGAGGGUCUCAACUGCUUCCGCUCUAAAGCCAAAUGUGGUUCAGAUUUGUGAGAAGAAGCGCGGUCAAGUCUCUGGCAGCAAGGAGUAGGCAAAAGAUGCCAUGUUCAGAAGAACUGUUCAUAAUCUUCACUCAAUGUUCUAUUAAUGUUCAGGACACUUCAUGUUCAGAAGAAAUAAAACUGUUAAUAAUGACAUUUGAGGACUUUUUUUUGUGAAAUCCCUUAUGCGGCCCAGCCUCACCCAGACUUUGCCUCCUGCGGCCCC